Molecule: ribosomal RNA, 253 nt
Filed under: uncultured bacterium
Lineage: Bacteria
Description: partial 16S ribosomal RNA
Rfam family: Bacterial small subunit ribosomal RNA
Source: RNAcentral
UACGUAGGGGGCAAGCGUUGUCCGGAAUCAUUGGGCGUAAAGCGCGCGUAGGCGGCCCGGUAAGUCCGCUCUGAAAGUCCAGGGCUCAACCCUGGAAAGCGGGUGGAUACUGCCGGGCUAGAAUCCGGAAGAGGCGAGUGGAAUUCCUGGUGUAGCGGUGGAAUGCGCAGAUAUCAGGAGGAACACCAAUAGCGAAGGCAGCUCGCUGGGACGGUAUUGACGCUAAGGCGCGAAAGCCAGGGGAGCGAACGGG